Zonotrichia leucophrys gambelii is the source of this 2891-nucleotide long non-coding RNA. RefSeq lists it as uncharacterized. The transcript has 4 exons. Lineage: Eukaryota; Metazoa; Chordata; Aves; Passeriformes; Passerellidae. The record is from RefSeq and is a predicted model, not a curated record.
GGGUUUGUUGGCUGUGCAGUGCAUAAGGAGUCAGUGCUGUGAGGAGGUGUCCGUGAGAACUCACCAAGAAGCUUCUUUCUUCAGCUCUGGAUUUUCCCAUCUGUCUUGCAUUCAUGAAUUUUGUGUCUCAGGACUGCCAGAGUUGGUGCAAUGCAAAGCCUUGAGGGCAUUGACUGGUCGUGGAAAAUAGCAGAUGACAAAGAUUCCUCAAAUAAAUGAGAAAGUACAAUACACAGUUUCCUGCUUCUUGCAAAGGAGACCUGAAGUUAUAAUGCCAAAAGGAAGUGUAUUACUGCUGCUGUUCAUACUGCAUUGCUGUGUGGAGCUCAGAGCUGCCCCUCAUGCCCAGCACAGUGCAAAACCUCAGCAUGGAACGUCGCUCAUCUAACAGCUUGUCUUGCCCAGGACUUUUCAAGAGGAGAUUCUCUAAAUACUGAAGGAGGAUGGAGAGAGUCCUUCCAUCUCUGUCACUAACUUCCUGAAUUACUGCUGCUUCCUCCAGUCAGACCUGGCCAUGUGUGCUGGAUGAACAGUGAAACAGAUCCCUGACUGCUAAAAAACAGCCCCUGAUGGCAUUUUACUGAUGGCCAUACUGGGAGUCUGUCCUACUCCAGUGGGUAUCUGGCGAGGUGUAUUGCAGAAUGAAUGCAUGUGAAUCUGCAAUUUAUAUAUAAAACAUUUUGUUAAUGCUUACUUUCCCUAGGUAUAUUAAUCUUACUGUCUCCAGGUUUUUAUGGUUCAUGGCAUGCACUAAAGAGUGUGCUCAUAUGAAUAAGAAGCAUUGAAAGCAGCUGAGUUAUUGAAGGUUUUUGUCUUUUUACAACAUCACUGUGCUAAACAGCCGGAUGCAUGUGAUGCUCUGUUUAUUUAACACAUCCCUGUUUAUUCCAGAAAAAAGCCAAGUCAUCUCUUCUAAAUUUGUAGUCUGAUCUCUGACAUAAUACAGGCCCCAACAUUUCUAAAGUUAUUAGAGUUAAAAUUUUUUUCUCAUAUAAUAUUAGGAAAUUAGGUUCAAGUUAAAAAACAUAAAAAUGUAGAUCAAUAUUAAAAGCAAGAAAAUGAGACCAUUAAAAAGAAAUGGAAGUAAAAAUACUCGUUCAAUAGCACUAUCCUCAAAGGUCCUCCACUGCACUGAAAUUUAUAUUUUGACUCUAAGAAUAGGGUUCAUGUGUAUUAUUUUCUUGGAAAACAAGAAUAAUUUUGACCAAAAAAACCCCAGAACUUCACAAUGGCUAAUUGCAUUUCCAUACCACAUGUGAUUACAAAAAGAGCGGUAGUGAUAAGGGUAUUCCCUUGACAUGACUACCUAUUCCAUCCCAUUCUUUUCAUUAAUAAUUCUUUAAACAGUUGGACACUCACAGGUUUUAAUUUUCCCAAACUCAUUCUAUCUAUGUGCAGAAUAGAAGUAUUAAUUAAUUUUUUGAAAGGCUUUGUUAAAGCCUUCACUGUUGAAAAAUUAGGCAGCAGGGAUGAUAACACAAAACACGAUUGUUGCUGUUGUCUCUAUAAUGCUUUCUUUUUUUACUGGAUUUCACCAACUGAUAAGUCUAAAUACUACAUAGAUAUUGGCACCUGUUGAGCUGAACAUCAGAUUUUUUUUAAACUGAGGAAUAAACAUUGCUAGAAUUGAAGUUUUUUGCCAAUAAUUACCUUGUUAGGACAUACAUUUUUCUUCUGAUCAGUCAUCAGAUACACAGAAAUUUUUAUAUGCUUUUUCUGUUAUUGUUUUUUAACAUUGCAUAAGUAGAAUUUUGUGCAGCAAGCAAUGGAAUGCACCAGGGAAGAGGGCUCACUGCCUCUUUCAGAGGUGAUCAGUUCUCCCAGGCCUUUCUUGGGAACAGUACUGGCAUGGUGGUUUUUCACCCCAAAUUACCAUGCACAACUAGAAACAGGGAAAAUAGGAAUCAUGGCUGUAGCAAAUCACUAAGCACCAGAGCCACAGACAGUGUGCAGAAGACAAUUCCCCAGAUGCCCUUCCCAUCCAAUUUUCUGAGCCUUUGGCACUAUCUGUAAAUACUUAUGCUGAAUCUUAUGACCUAAAUACAGAAGGGGUAUCUUUACUUUUUAAUCAUCUCGCUGUAGAAGGAAGAUGUGGUUGAAAGCAGCACAGUCUAGUGCCAGGAAUAAGAAAUUUUAGGAACUAGUCUUGCCUCUUGGUGUCAAUGACACAAUUAAUGUCCUGAUCUUAAACCACUGAAUAUUGUAGCCAUAAAGAAACAAAAUAGAGAGAGGAACCCAAGCAACUCUGUAUUAUACAGUGUUUCCAAGCCACAUGGAUUAGUGCAUAAAUACUCAGAGCAAGACACGGCAGAGCAGGGAAAGCUACUUCAAAAAAAGCUUCUUCAAUUUCUCAUUCAGCUUUCAGGCUGAAGGCAACUGAACAGAUCCUAUCUGUUUGGCACAGGCCACACUAAAGAAGAUACAGGCUAGCAAGCAAAGUGCAAGUCUAAGUUUUGUGAGAGGUUUAUAAUCAGUUUGCCGAGCCACAGAGCAACCCUUUUACAGUACAUUGUUACUAUUACCUGCAUGUCCUGAACCAGAGCUCACAUGGGCAUGUCUACUUGCUAUGCCAUUACACCUCUAUUUCCUACACUUAUUUUCAACAUGAAGCAUGAAAAUAUAAUUCCAAAAGAAAAGCAGAAUAGAUGCCUAUUUGGUUUCCUAACCCUGUCUCUUCCCUCCUCUCUAUAUUUAAGACCUUAUGUAAUAAAUUCAUUGACAUAUCUGCAGGAUUUUGCCUCUAGUUAUGUUUGUGCUGCUCACAGGAUAUCACAGGUAUCCCACCUUUGGUAACAAUCUUCAGGAAUAACACUACCCUGGGCCCCCUAUGGCAUUCUGUGACCCUUUAGUACCACACUUGCAAGCACACUUUAUUCCUUUCUGUGCUAACC